Molecule: ribosomal RNA, 248 nt
Filed under: uncultured bacterium
Lineage: Bacteria
Description: partial 16S ribosomal RNA
Rfam family: Bacterial small subunit ribosomal RNA
Source: RNAcentral
GCAAGUCGAACGGGAAGCUCGUUUUCGAAUGAGUGGAGAGUGGCGCACGGGUGAGUAACACGUAACUGAUCUGCCCUAGAGAGGAGGAUAACUACUGGAAACAGUAGCUAAAACUCCAUAAGCUCACGUUUUUUAGAAAGAUGUGAGAAAAACUCCGGUGCUCUAGGAUGAGGUUGCGUCCCAUCAGCUAGUUGGUAGGGUAAAGGCUUACCAAGGCAACGACGGGUAGGGGACCUGAGAGGGUGACC